RNAcentral lists this microRNA precursor (76 nucleotides) under Myotis brandtii (Brandt's bat). RNAcentral describes it as "mir-9229 microRNA precursor family". It matches the Rfam family "mir-9229 microRNA precursor family". Lineage: Eukaryota; Metazoa; Chordata; Mammalia; Chiroptera; Vespertilionidae. The record is from Rfam by way of RNAcentral.
GAGACACCCCUAUGAUGCAGGACUUGCUUCAGUGGGGCUUGGCUGCUCACUGAGUCUGCCCCUUGAGUGUGUCGCU